CGGGAAGCCAGGCGGCGACGCCGAGCGGAACCCGAAAACCGGUCUCAGUUCGGAUCGGAGUCUGCAACCCGACUCCGUGAAGCUGGAUUCGCUAGUAAUCGCGCAUCAGCCAUGGCGCGGUGAAUACGUUCCCGGGCCUUGUACACACCGCCCGUCAAGCCAUGGGAGCCGGGGGUGCUUGAAGUGCGUCGCCGCGAGGCGCGCCCUAGAGCAAAACCGGUGACUGGGGCUAAGUCGUAACAAGGUAGC
RNAcentral lists this ribosomal RNA (249 nucleotides) under uncultured bacterium. RNAcentral describes it as "partial 16S ribosomal RNA". It matches the Rfam family "Bacterial small subunit ribosomal RNA", at positions 1243 to 1500 of the family's 1533-position model. The record is from RNAcentral.